Molecule: ribosomal RNA, 497 nt
Filed under: uncultured bacterium
Lineage: Bacteria
Description: partial 16S ribosomal RNA
Rfam family: Bacterial small subunit ribosomal RNA
Source: RNAcentral
GAUGAACGCUGGCGGCGUGCCUAAUACAUGCAAGUCGAGCGAACAGACGAGGAGCUUGCUGCUCUGACGGUAGCGCCAGACGGGUGAGUACAACGUGGUUAACCUACCUAUAAGCCUGGGUUAACUUCUGGAAACCGGAGCUAUUACGGGAGAGUAUACUGAACCGCAUGGUUCAAUAGUGGAAUACGGUUUUGCCGGCACUUAUAGAUGGAGCCGCGCCGCAUUACCUAGAUGGUAAGGUAACGGCUUACCAAGGCCACGAGGCGUAGCCGGACUGAGUGGGUGAGCGGCCGCACUGGAAGUGAGACACGGACGGGACUGCUACGGGCGGCAGCAGUAGGGGAUCUUCCGCGAUGGGCGAGAGGAUGCCGGAGGAACGCCCGGUGAGUGAUGAAGGGCUUCGGAUGGUAUAACUCUGUUUUUAGGGAGGGACAAAGGUGUAAGUAGCUAUGCACGGGUUGACGGUAGCUAAGUAGAAAGCGACGGCUAACUACGUG